Molecule: long non-coding RNA, 1169 nt
Filed under: Ananas comosus (pineapple)
Lineage: Eukaryota; Viridiplantae; Streptophyta; Magnoliopsida; Poales; Bromeliaceae
Description: long non-coding RNA (ACOM_LNC028340)
Source: RNAcentral
GUAUCGAAAAAUAAUAUUUGACUGACCGUUCCUAGAGCAAGUGGCAAAGUGGUAGUUGGUACCUGAAAUCUAAAUUCGAAUCCUAGUUGAUUCACAUUUUCAGCUAAGUUUAUUUAUAAAUAAAAUAAACAAAGCGGGUAGUGUGCUACCUAUCUCUCUCAAAAAAAAAGAAAUAUAAUACUUGGCUACACAUAGUACUACACAUAUUAUGACAAAUUGCAAUACUAUAUAGACACAAAGAAGUUGCACUAUAACAGAAUUAGGUUAUAGGGACACAUGUUUGGGAUACUUUUAUGUAAGUGUCCCAUUUAUACCAAAUUAAACUUUUUAAAAUAUCUACUAAUGGCUAAGUAUAAAGCCCAAUCGAACUAAAAAUAAAAUGUUACUCUACUCAACCCACCCCACCUAGCCCAUUCGGCCCGAUUACAAACAGAAAAGAAAAGAAAACAAAAGAAAAAUUGAUUACUAUCUCCCUUCUUCCCUCACUCAAUCCAUUGAAAUUCUAGACGAAGAUCUCUUCCCUCUCGUCCUCCUUCGCUACCGCAGCCAACAAGGUAGAGUUUCGGCGGUUGCUAAAUGCUUAAAUAAGUGUUGAUAAAUUAGCAUCACUCUUUUUAGGUAAUAGCGACACUCUUUAACUAUCACUAUAUACCUGGCGACUCCACAUAUAACAACACUUUUUGAAAGUGUCGGUAAUUUAGCCAGCAUCACUUUUUUUGACCUGUACCGACAUUUAAAAAUGUCGCUAUAGACCAUUUUUGUUAUAGUGUUGUAAGAGUAUGUUUGGUUCAAAGUCGGAAUCAGAAUGAAAAUAAGCCGGAAACAGAAUCGGAAUGACUCAUUACCCGAUUCUGUUUGGUUCGCCACCUGAAUCGGAAUUGAAAUGAAUCAUUUUCAUUGUCAGUAUUUGGUUCAAAUAGAUAUCAGAAAUAUAAUCACAUUAAUAUGUGUUUGAGAUAUUUUAAAAAAAAAAGUUUAAAAUUCAAAUUGAAAAUAUAGAAGGAAGGAAAUAGGGAAAUGAAAGAUUCCAAAGAAAAAAAAAGGAGGAAAGUUUUCAAAAAUAAAACAAAAGAUAUAUAAUUAGUUGAUUGAGGCUUGUUUCCUCAAUAAAUUAAUUUUUUAAAUUAUUCCCAAAUGGGAAUCAUCUUUGAAUUCUAUAUAAAAUAAGA